CAGCCGUAAACAAUGUGCGUUAGGUGUGUCGGUAACCACGCGUUACUGAUGCGCCGAAGAGAAAUCGUGAAACGCACCACCUGGGAAGUACGGUCGCAAGGCUGAAACUUAAAGGAAUUGGCGGGGGAGCACCACAACAGGUGGAGCCUGCGGUUUAAUUGGAUUCAACGCCAGACAUCUCACCGGAUAAGACAGCUGAAUGAUUGUCAAUCUGAAGACCCUGCAUGACUAGCUGAGAGGAGGUGCAUGGCGUCAGUGACU
RNAcentral lists this ribosomal RNA (261 nucleotides) under uncultured archaeon. RNAcentral's name for it is "partial 16S ribosomal RNA". It matches the Rfam family "Archaeal small subunit ribosomal RNA", at positions 748 to 1008 of the family's 1478-position model. The record is from RNAcentral.